UGGGGAAUAUUGCACAAUGGGCGCAAGCCUGAUGCAGCCAUGCCGCGUGUGUGAAGAAGGCCUUCGGGUUGUAAAGCACUUUCAGCGGGGAGGAAGGCGAUAAGGUUAAUAACCUUGUCGAUUGACGUUACCCGCAGAAGAAGCACCGGCUAACUCCGUGCCAGCAGCCGCGGUAAUACGGAGGGUGCAAGCGUUAAUCGGAAUUACUGGGCGUAAAGCGCACGCAGGCGGUCUGUCAAGUCGGAUGUGAAAUCCCCGGGCUCAACCUGGGAACUGCAUUCGAAACUGGCAGGCUAGAGUCUUGUAGAGGGGGGUAGAAUUCCAGGUGUAGCGGUGACAUGCGUAGAGAUCUGGAGGAAUACCGGUGGCGAAGGCGGCCCCCUGGACAAAGACUGACGCUCAGGUGCGAAAGCGUGGGGAGCAAACAGG
RNAcentral lists this ribosomal RNA (429 nucleotides) under Chloroflexota bacterium. RNAcentral describes it as "Chloroflexi bacterium partial 16S ribosomal RNA". It matches the Rfam family "Bacterial small subunit ribosomal RNA", at positions 355 to 776 of the family's 1533-position model. The record is from RNAcentral. Lineage: Bacteria; Bacillati; Chloroflexota.